This 825-nucleotide long non-coding RNA is filed under the name Homo sapiens (human). RNAcentral's name for it is "HSALNT0302330". Lineage: Eukaryota; Metazoa; Chordata; Mammalia; Primates; Hominidae. The record is from RNAcentral.
GAGCCAUGGCUUGUGUCCCAGGUGAGGCCCCAGCAGAGGGCUCUCAGGAUGGUAAUGCGAGGACUCUGUAGGUCUCCUAAUUUCUUUCACCGCCUCACUGAGCCUUUCUUCCCCUUAGGUAAACCCAGUUCACUCAGGCAGAAGCAAGAGGAAGAACAUUCCUCCAGCUCCUCCUCAUGCAGGCCCGAGAGGUGGGAGGGCAUUCUGCCAGCCCAGUAUAUCCACUUUGCUUCGACAAAUGUCAGCCUGCCCAGAAUAAGGAAGUACCCACAGCCGGGAAAGGUAAAUCCAAACCCUGAAAAGACAGAUACUGAGCAUUUGAAAUAACACAGCUUGCAGCGUCCUUGCGGAGCCCUGUUUAUGGGGCAAUAAACCAUUUAAACGACUGUGUGUUGGAACCCACAAGGUCGCCUUGAAAGGCUUUUCACAGACACUGCUAGUAGGGCUCCAGGACGUCUGGAGGGCCAGGAUGGGGUGUCUUUUUGGCUUCUGCUUGAAGCUGCUGGUUCCCCUCCAUCAGGAACGCCAGCCCCUGGAGAGGCUGCCAUGAGAAAGCCAGUUUCCACGUAAAGAAAUCUAAGCAACUUGCUAGGGAGGCCACAUGGAGACAGUGAAACCCCAGAGGAUGAGAAACCACUUGAAAAAGAGCGAAGGCACCCAGUGGACAGCCAGCACCCGCCGCCGGAUGUGAAUGAGGCUGUCUUGCAUUCCUAAGAUGCUGCAGCUGACAUGAGGUGAAGCAAAGAUGAGUGUCCCAGCUGAGCCUGGCCAAGCUCCUGACUCACGGAAUCCUGAAAAAUAAAUGGUUGUCAUUUUAUGUUGUUA